UUAGAGUUUUGAUCCUGGCUCAGAUUGAACGCUGGCGGGAUGCUUUACACAUGCAAGUCGGACGGCAGCACGGACUUCGGUCUGGUGGCGAGUGGCGAACGGGUGAGUAAUGUAUCGGAACGUGCCCAGUAGCGGGGGAUAACUACGCGAAAGCGUGGCUAAUACCGCAUACGCCCUACGGGGGAAAGCGGGGGACCUUCGGGCCUCGCACUAUUGGAGCGGCCGAUAUCGGAUUAGCUAGUUGGUGGGGUAACGGCUCACCAAGGCGACGAUCCGUAGCUGGUUUGAGAGGACGACCAGCCACACUGGGACUGAGACACGGCCCAGACUCCUACGGGAGGCAGCAGUGGGGAAUUUUGGACAAUGGGGGCAACCCUGAUCCAGCCAUCCCGCGUGUGCGAUGAAGGCCUUCGGGUUGUAAAGCACUUUUGGCAGGAAAGAAACGGCGCCAGCUAAUACCUGGCGCUAAUGACGGUACCUGCAGAAUAAGCACCGGCUAACUACGUGCCAGCAGCCGCGGUAAUACGUAGGGUGCAAGCGUUAAUCGGAAUUACUGGGCGUAAAGCGUGCGCAGGCGGUUCGGAAAGAAAGAUGUGAAAUCCCAGAGCUUAACUUUGGAACUGCAUUUUUAACUACCGGGCUAGAGUGUGUCAGAGGGAGGUGGAAUUCCGCGUGUAGCAGUGAAAUGCGUAGAUAUGCGGAGGAACACCGAUGGCGAAGGCAGCCUCCUGGGAUAACACUGACGCUCAUGCACGAAAGCGUGGGAGCAA
Molecule: ribosomal RNA, 770 nt
Filed under: Bordetella sp. BND-AN11
Lineage: Bacteria; Pseudomonadati; Pseudomonadota; Betaproteobacteria; Burkholderiales; Alcaligenaceae
Description: bacterial SSU rRNA
Rfam family: Bacterial small subunit ribosomal RNA
Source: RNAcentral